Molecule: transfer RNA, 60 nt
Filed under: bovine gut metagenome
Rfam family: tRNA
About the family: Transfer RNA (tRNA) molecules are approximately 80 nucleotides in length. Their secondary structure includes four short double-helical elements and three loops (D, anti-codon, and T loops).
Source: RNAcentral
GAUCGCUUAGUUGGUAAAGCAGCGGACUGAAAAUCCGCGUUCGUGGGUUCGAAUCCCACU